GCCUACGGGGGGCAGCAGUGAGGAAUAUUGGUCAAUGGCCGAGAGGCUGAACCAGCCAAGUCGCGUGAGGGAUGACGGCCCUACGGGUUGUAAACCUCUUUUGCCGGGGAGCAAAGAGCGGGACGCGUCCCGCCUCGAGAGUACCCGGAGAAAAAGCAUCGGCUAACUCCGUGCCAGCAGCCGCGGUAAUACGGAGGAUGCGAGCGUUAUCCGGAUUUAUUGGGUUUAAAGGGUGCGCAGGCGGAAGCGCAAGUCAGCGGUAAAAUCGCGGGGCUCAACCUCGCUCCGCCGUUGAGACUGGCGUU
This 305-nucleotide ribosomal RNA is filed under the name uncultured bacterium. RNAcentral's name for it is "bacterial SSU rRNA". It matches the Rfam family "Bacterial small subunit ribosomal RNA", at positions 337 to 639 of the family's 1533-position model. The record is from RNAcentral.